AUGCGCCUCCAGAGCGGGUCCCGGCCGGAGAAGGCGCGCAGCCGCCGGCAGACCUGGCCCAGCCGGCCCAGGGCCUGCGCGUCCAGAAACAAGAAUUGGGAAGGAAAACGCCAACAUCCCAAAGUCUCAAGUCAAAUCCUCUCCAUCUGAUACAUUCUGUCAGCUGCAAGCAAACUGAUUCACUGUCUAUCUUUCUCCAGGAUGUGUGGACUACCCUGUGCAUGUAAUCCUCAAUGAGAGUCACCCGGGUGCACAGAUAAGAGAUCCCAAGGAAGGCAGCUUGGGUAGGAAGUGAGUUGCCACAUCACAUUUUCUUCACAACCUCUCCCAGCACUCAGAGAAGAUUCUGCCACCCUGAAAGACCACACUAGCCUAUGAUCAACUGACUUACGAGGAAAGAUGGAAAGACCCAAACAUGGACGCUGGCAAGUGCUGAUUCUGGUGGGGAGAGAGCAGGUAUAACUGUCAAUGUGCAUUUCAGAUGUGUAGGCCCCAAGGAAGGAGCAGAAUUGAUGAGGGUGUAGAUAACUAGAAAUGAUCAGAUGAAACUGAGCAAAGGAAAAUGUAGGCUAAAUAUUAGGGAACAGUUAGUGACAAUCGCACAAUCUACUAGAGAAGAGCUGCAAGAUCUAAUGCUUGAGUAGACCAGACAAAGCCCAGGAGAAGAUACUUCAGGGACUAAUCAUGUACUGACCAGGGACUUUCUAUGUCUAGUUUCAGUGAUUUUUAUCAUGCUGCAACGUCUUCCUGACCUUUAAUCCAUGCAUAUGGAGAUUGUUGUUGCACCGAUGGUUUCUCAAUCAAGAGACCACGGUGAAGAGUAAAUUAAAAGC
Molecule: long non-coding RNA, 833 nt
Organism: Terrapene triunguis (Three-toed box turtle)
Lineage: Eukaryota; Metazoa; Chordata; Testudines; Emydidae
Exons: 3
Source: RefSeq, a predicted model, not a curated record